RNAcentral lists this long non-coding RNA (399 nucleotides) under Brachypodium distachyon (stiff brome). Its description in RNAcentral is "long non-coding RNA (BDIS_LNC003389)". The record is from RNAcentral. Lineage: Eukaryota; Viridiplantae; Streptophyta; Magnoliopsida; Poales; Poaceae.
GAGAGGAGGCCGAGUGCGAGGAUCAUCAAGUGUUGAUAUUCAACAUUAAGAUAUGCGUGAGGGAGGAGAGGGAGGCAGGCGCACCACAACCGAAAAUGGAGGAUACAAGUCACUAGAAGAACAACUUGUGUGCUAGGGGCAGCCAACGACAAGAAUGAUAUGCCCAGGUGUGCAAGGGGUGGUGAAUCAAUGAUCAUGAAGAACCUGCGUGCAUGGGAGGAUUGUUUGCCACAUGUGGAGUUCGCUUAAUUAUAACAGGGCGGUACAUUCUGCAACGUAACUUUCACUACUACAAAAUACCCCUUCCAUGAACCCUCACCAGUGGCGGUUAUUUCCAUUCAAAAAAUCAUCGCCACUGGUGAGGUCACGAGUGGCGGUCAUUCUCAUUCAAAAAAUCAC